GACGAACGCUGGCGGCGUGCUUAACACAUGCAAGUCGAACGGAAAGGCCCUGCUUUUGUGAGGUGCUCGAGUGCGAAAGGGGGGAUAAAACGGGGAGUAACCUCCCCUGGCUUUUGGGAUAAUUUCGGGAAACGGGGGUAAUACCCGGAAAGGGGUUCCGCCGCCAGGGUGGGGGUGGGAAGGUUCGGCGGUUGGGGAUUGACUCGCGGCUUAUCAGCUUGUUGGUGGGGUUGUGGCUUACCAAGGCUUUGACGGGUAGCCGGCCUGAGAGGGUGACCGGCCACAUUGGGACUGAGAUACGGCCCAGACUCCUACGGGAGGCAGCAGUGGGGAAUAUUGCACAAUGGGCGGAAGCCUGAUGCAGCAACGCCGCGUGCGGGAUGACGGCCUUCGGGUUGUAAACCGCUUUCGCCUGUGACGAAGCGUGAGUGACGGUAAUGGGUAAAGAAGCACCGGCUAACUACGUG
Molecule: ribosomal RNA, 467 nt
Filed under: uncultured bacterium
Lineage: Bacteria
Description: partial 16S ribosomal RNA
Rfam family: Bacterial small subunit ribosomal RNA
Source: RNAcentral